This is a non-coding RNA of Taeniopygia guttata (zebra finch), 10885 nucleotides long. NCBI's taxonomy places the organism in Eukaryota, Metazoa, Chordata, Aves, Passeriformes, Estrildidae. The record is from RefSeq and is a predicted model, not a curated record.
UCCGCCGGUGCCCGCGCUCGCGCGGCGCGCGCUCUGCCGGCUGGUGCGGCUGCGGGCGGAGCAGGGAUGCGCCCCGGCUGCGGGAGCGCGGCGCGGAGCGGCGGCAGCCCGGGCGGCCGAGGGCGGCGAGCACGGCCGGUUUUUCAAUACAGAGUUCACACUGGUUUCAUACGUGAUGAGGAGACAAGCAAACAGUGGAGAACAGCAGUAGAUACAAUGCAGAUAAGCAAGAAAGAAAAAUUAAGAACGAAAAGAUGGAGCUGUUUCUGAAAAAUCAGAUGGCACACUUGGAAAUAAUACCAUAAAGGCUCAUUAUUUUAAACAACUAUUGAUUACAUCCUGGGGAUUUUCACCAAUUCCACUUGAUGCUGCUUUUAAAAUGUUCAUUUGGCCUGUUAAUGAUUAAAGAUUUGGAUUUCCCUCUUUACACUAAAUAAGGCUGAUUUCAAAAACAUACAAAAUCUUGGAGAGGGGGAGUGGCAAGAAGGAAACAAACUGAAACAACCUUAGCUUACAUUACCAAAAGCAAAAUUCCCUGUUCAAGUUCAAACUAAAUGGCAUUUUGGAGGUGAGAACAGAAAAGUAAUCACAUCAAGCAAGUUGUGUGAAUGAUGACUUGAAGAGGAGAAUCCUCAAGGCAAGAGAUGCAACAAACCAGCUACUUGCAUUAAUUCAAAGAAAAAAUAGAAAAUGUUGACAAUGUGUUUAUAUAGUGUUUUGAAAGACAGGAAAUUAAAUCUGUAGGAUUAAAUAGGAUUUAUCAGUUAUCAGAGGAAUAUGUCUUUUGCUUUUCUCCCUUUCCAACUUCUGCACCAUCAAGUUCAACAUUAUCAGUAGGUCAUUUCGUACCUUCUCGAAGGUAUUAACAGCAGUCCAGAUGCCACAAGCAUGGCAAAAGUCACUCAGCUGUGCCUAGUCCCUCUGCUACUGAAUAAUCUAUUGUAAUCAAGGCAUUAAAGAAUAAAUCUAAUACAGUUUAGGAGAUACACUGAAAUUUCAGUAAUGUAUGCAUAUGGUGGGGUUAGCCCUCUGCAGAGGACCACAGGUCUGCCAUGAAAUUGCUCUUCAGCUUGCUAGGCAAACAACCUGCACUGAUCUUCAGCUCAAUAUAAUGGUGAUGCCCCCUCCACUGCAGAGCAAAGAGGUAACAUUUCACUUUACUCAAGUGUCAUAUCUCCUAGAAAGAAACUACAUUUCCUUGGUUUAUUGAUACAAGUUCAGAGGAUACUGACAUCCAUACAUACAAAACAAGCACUGAAUACUGUUAUAUAUUAAGGAGAACUGAAGAAAUGUGCAAGACAGAACUCCAGAUAGGUCCACUGAGUAUUCAUCUAUGAUAACCACUGGUGGUAUACUGAAAUAUACCAUGCUAAUGGCCAGCUUGCUCCUUUCCUUGCUGUACCAAAGCACUCAUAGGUAACUUUCAACUGCUUGGUAGCUCACAUGGGAACUUUUGAUCUCUCUGGUCAGGCUAAUACUGCAAUCUAUUUUGGAUCAAUUCUCUGUUGGUUUUGUCCCUUUGUUUCAGACACUGUUCAGGUUUUGGCUACGACACAGCCAGUUUUCUUCAUAGCAAUCUGUGUUCUGAACCUGUGGCCGGAGCAGUGUUAACAGCAUAAGGCCAUCCCUGUUCAUACAUUACAAUUUCAUUGCAGAUAUGUGGAUGACUUUCAUAAUCAAUUUUCAAAAAAAAGGAGGCUUAGGAUCUAGAAGGUAUAUUUUCAAAGCUUAAAACAAGAGGUACACUCAAUAAUCCUUUUAAUGAAUAACAGGAUAAGCAAUGCUGCAGUGCCGGGUUGCUUUGGCCCGACUGGCUCCUGACCCCGUGGGCGAGAGCAGCUGCGCCCAGAGCGCUGUCGAACCCGGGGUGCGGCUGCAGGGCACAGCUGCUCUACGGCACGGGUCAACUGCACUGGGGAGAGGACUGCACCGAGGGCAGGGACAAAGAACAGGGAAAGGUCUUCUCUAUGUUUCCCAAAGGUGUUUACUCCCCAGACCCUGAACAAAGCCAUACAUCAACUUAUAUAUGGGGGAGGUCCCAGGGGAAGAUACACUCUUUAACCAACUGGGAGAAACUGGGGGUAGGACACAAGGCAGGGAAUACGACGUUUAAACCAAGAGGGGAGUAUAGCUGAGGAGAACAACUUAAACCAAUGGGGCUUUGAAGGAUACAAAACUGAUAGGAAGUUUCCAGGAAAAGGGACAGGCAUAGGAAGAGAUUGACAUUCCAUGGGAGGAGGAACAGGGAACAAAAGGGCAGGUCUUCGGAGAGAUGGACAACUAGGGCAAAACCAACAACACAGGCGGGGAAAGGAACAACCCAUUCGUAAUCAAAUACGCUAUAACAAUACAAAACGGGGGAUGUUAUAAAACUGACUACUGGGACCAAAUUACAAUCAAAAACACACACCACAACAAGUACACCACAAGUGGAUUUCAAAAGGUUCCGCAUUUAGAAUAAGUUUAGGAAACAGAUAAGAUGAAAUUUUAAAAAACAACAACCAAAAAAAAAAAACCUAUAACUCAUCAACCAGUGACUACUCCUCUCGAUUCAUUUACAUACAGCAUUCUGCCAGUCAGUAGCAGUCAAUAAGCAUUACCACCUUUCCCCAUCCUUCACCUUAAAAGGGACUAUUCUAUAUCCCCAUCUAUUCAAGCAUAAGCUGAUCAACAGUACUUUUAUGUCUUUGUUACAAUUACUGCUGCUCAAAAGUGGCAAUUCUAGGACAGAUUUUAUUGUUUUGGCUACUAAUGUAAAAAAGUUCCUGUCCUGCUGAAUCUUUUAUUUCUUCUUCCCAUGUUUUAAAAAGCGCCCUGAUAUCUCUGUAAAAGAUACACCACAGCAUAACUGCGUCCUCUGCAUUAAAGACAGGAUACUGAAAUGCAGGAUCAGCAUUUCUCUGACAGUGCCUGCACAUCUUCUGGUUGCCAAGAUACAAAAUACAUUCAAAUUUUUGAGGUUUUCAUAUAUGAAAACAUAUUUUGGGGAAAAUGUCCAAACAAAUAUUGUGAAUGAGAGAUUUGCUUUGUUUACAGAACAGAUACUUCAUCAUGAGGAUCAAACUUACCCACUUCAUCUCUCACUAGUAAUCUUAAAAACUCUGCAUGUUUAGUAGUUCCCUGAGGAUUUGCCUUUCUUAUCUCUUUAAUCUUGACAAAAGGACCAUAAAAUGUGCCAGGAAAAGGCAGCUUUCACAGUUACUAAUCUAGAUGACCUUAUUAGGAAACAAAUGAAAAGCAUGAGUUCAUUACAAACAUGCUGUAAAGCAGUAUCCAUACAAAAUUGAUGUUGGCCCAAGUAAAAUGGCACUAAAGAAAGAUUAUGUUAAAAAGACAUCAACAAUGCAUCAGCUCAGACAUAAACUGGCUGACAUUCCUUCCAGGUGUAUUGCGUAUCCAUCACACCCAGAUGAAUAUCUUCAGGUUAAGAUAUGUUGAACUACUAACUGUUUUCACUUAUGAGAAUAUGCAUUGGCAAUAUAUGAUAAAGCAUUUGAAGCAAAGUAAUGGAAGCAAAAAUUGGACAUGUGACUAAUUCACUUUUUACUUCAUCUUGAAUCAAAUACCACGGUGAAAUUAAUUGCACAGGACUACUGCUGCUGUUAAUUUUCAGCAAAUAAUGAGCAUUUUUACCACCACCAGUAAAUAUUUCAAAAUCCAAACACGAGGAAAAUCAAAUAUUUCCUUGCCCACAUAAUAGGAAUCCUAUUUAAAGAAAAAUUCCAGAAAAAGACAAAAGAUAAUUUGAAGCAAUUCAACACUGAAACUCAAAGACACAUUCUAGAUGCAGUAAUAACUGUGCAUCCUUCAACCUUUUCAGUUUUAUGGAUAAAAAUGCAACUGAAUGUUUUUAAUUGUUUGCAGAUGGCUAUUUUUAUUCCGGUAAAGCUAGCACAAAAAUGGUCUAACAGAACUUGGAUCUUUAGUUCAUUCCAUAACUUCCUGUGCAUUGCAAAGGCACAAGACCAUAACUUAUGAAUAUUCAUGACAGGUAUGAAACAAACCUUAAUCAAUGCUCUUAAUGUCUCCUACUACGUAAGCUCAAAGAUGAAGUCUAAGCCUAAGUAUUCUGGACAGUGCAAGACAAUGAUACUGAAACUCAAGAAUAAAUUACAUUUAGAUGAAUGCUUACCUGUUGCUAUUGGACAUGAAAUGAGUACACAGAAGCCUGGCAAGCUUAAAAGAUGAAAAAAGCUAAUUUUAUUUUUGACCUCGCAAUAUAUAGAAUUCUAAAAGUAACACUGGAUUGGAGGAUGAAAUUGCUACCUCUCCAACCACACUGGUCAAACCAACAGUCUAUUAAUUCUCUCUUCCAACAAAGAAGAACGCAAACCAAUUAUUAUGUGAACAGUGUGUGAGAACUCGAGUAGAAAUAUGUAAACAUCAGAAGGUACAGAAAACUUCUAAAAGAGCUUUAAAACUUUCAAAGGAACUAUAAAAGAAAACUUAACACUUUUAAAAAUCAGGGGAACACCUACACACUUACAGAAAGAUCUUGAUGAAAUACUAUCAAAAGAUAUAUCCUUCCCUAGAGUAUCAACAAAUGUUCCAGGAAAUUAAUUUUUUUUUAAUAGACACUUUUCAAAGUUUGACAAUUCCAUUUUUAUUCUUGGUGCAUAAGGUGUCAUUCUGAAUGCACAGCAUAUCUACAGCAUCACUGGAUGAAAUAACCAAAGGGCAGAGCAAUGACAAACUCAUAGAACUGCCCAUGCAGAACCCUGCUUCAAACUCCCACCCGGGCAGCAAACAUUGUACAGUAUCCAAGCAUGGGCAUUAUAAUUCACCAAUAAUACCCUCAGUUUCAAGCUCCCUUUAAUUAAUAAUUAAGUAAUAUGCGAUGCCCAACAUUGCUUAUUCCCAGUUUGCUGUGAGAGUUACAUUGUUUCAAUCACUAUUCGAAGCACUGAAGCUACCAAGUUCUUCAGAGCCCAUGAGCCCUGCUUGCCAUUAUAUGGAAAUAGCUUAAGCACAUAUCCCAGGUCUAAUAUUUCUGAAUAAGAAAACAGAAUCUGACAUAUUAGUUUUAAAGCAACUGACUAUAACUAUAGAAUUAAAACUUCAUCAGGAAAUAAGCAGCGAAGGAAAGCAGUUCCCAUUACGGUGACUGAACAUGCUGAAGGUAGUACUGAGACACUUCUGUGAGCAGCGAGAUUAGGAGUGGGGAGCAUUUAACAGCUUCCAUCUGUCUUGACUUGCCUGAUUACCUGGAUAUAAAAAUUUUGGUUUGCAUUUUCUAAUUUCAAACUUGCAAUGCUACUUCAUGUCUCUAGAGCCAAAAUUCCUGGUUUGAAAAAAUGGAUUAUUAAUUGUUCAGAAAGAAGUUGGAAACUAAGUUCUGCACAUGCUCCUUGACCCAAAAAAGUUGAGUUAAUAUCACACAACUCACUAAUGGAACAGUGACUCAGAACAAAAGUAUUGAUUAAAACACUUGAUAAUGUUGUGGUUAACCAUAAUGUAUGUACGUUCUACCUCAGGGUAGCUUCUGGCAGAUGCAUGGUCAUGUUUACUGGAAAGGUUUAAUUUUUUCACAUUUAGGUAUAUUUCUAUUUUUGCAAACAGACAGGAAAAGAGAUGAAGGGAAUUUCUUUUUAAAUCUAAAGGAACAUAAACUAGACAACUAGACUUGUUGUAGAAUACAUUCAGAGGAAUGUAAUCUGCAAGUCAUUUAAAUGCACACUAGCUAAUACCUGCAAUGAUAUAAUCAUCUUUUCCUUUACUUCAGAGCUAUAACACUAAGCUUCAUUUUACUGCACAUGUAUGCAGUUAAAAAUACCAGGUUUUGUACACAUUAUUAGAGAAAAGGUCUUUCUUUUCAUUCCAUAUGUAGCACCAAGGUACUCAUUUGAAAGUUCUGCUUGUCUAAAGAGGGCACCUGGAGCCUUAUAUUGUCAUUAUAAUGUCAUUCCAUAGCACAUCUAUUGUACCCCUAGCUACAUGUUAGUGCACAAGUAGGUCAUGCAAAUCAGUGGUUCCAAAGAUCAAACUUUCCCCACUGCCUGAGAGGAUUAUGUCAGUCGAGGUGCUAAGAAUCAGCCAUUAUAUAUCUAUUCUAUAAAAAUGUAAACCACAGAGAACUUCACUUUCAGUGUGUACUUCAGGAGCAACAUAGCAUUUAGAAGAAUAAAACAAUUAAGCAAAAAGGCACCAACACAAGGGACUGGAUGUUUCAGUUUCUCAACGUGCUAUAAUUUUUGUGUAUUUCCUACUUUUAUCAAUCAUCAAGUUUGUCUAAAUGCACACAGAUUAGAAAUUUCAUUAUUCAAAAAUCUGUACCACUGAACCACAAAGGCAUUUGCUUCUCUGUCAAAGAUAGCAGAAGGUAUUUGAAAAAGACUAUUAGCUGACUAAGCAAACACGACAAAGGCAUAGUAAAGUUACGGGGAAGCUGGUCAAGACUGUCUAACUCCAUAUCACAGGAUGGACCAUAAUUCAAAGGCCUGGAUUAAAUGAUGUAAGAGUGUGGUGACAGGUUUGUAGUAGUAUCUUUCUAUAUCCCAAUCUGAAUAUAUACCCAUAUAUCUUUAUUCUUAAUGAAUACAAAACAUUUGUAAACUAGUUUGGCAUUUUCCUAGUGCAAAUAUUUCAGCACUGAUUCAGCAUUCCUCAAAUUUGUCACCUCUGAUAUUUUCUAUAGAACAAUGGAUAGACAGAAACCUCAGAAUUUUAGUAAUCCUAUUACUAACAAAGCUGUAGCAUUCAUAGAUUCUUAGUAUUUUAUAAUCCCAUUCAGGUAUGUAACUGUUGAUUAUUUUACUGUAAUGAAGCUAUGGAAUGACAGAUACUUUUACAGAUAAUAAGAAUUAAUAAUCUCUGAAUGAGAUUUGCAACACAUUCAGACUUAGUAAUGCUUAGCCUAAAAAUAAUCAACAAAAUAUUGAUCCAUACCUAAAUGUCAUUGGAAAUUUCAGAGAAGCCUUUGUAGACCAAAAGCACAAUCUGCCUUUUGCACCUGAAAUCGCAGGCAGGGUUGGAAAAAAAUAACACAAGAGUGUAUUUUUCAUCUUGCUGUGAAAGCACCAGCACGUUUAAAACAUCACUCAUAACAGUAAAUCAAAAUCUCAGUAAUGCUUGUUGAAACUGGCUUUUAAGAUAGAGAGUGAACAAAAAGACCUUUAAAAAUCAGUUUUAGGGAAUAUAUAAAUUGUCUGAACACUGCCAUGGACAAUCAGUUUUAACAGCAUACGUCCAACAGCCUAGUUACUUGCUGUUCUGGAAGUCUGCCAAAGAAAGAGAUCCAUCCAGAAAUUAUGAGGGGAAAAAAAUCAAGAGAAGCUGCGUAACAGCACAUAACUUACAUACAUCUCUAGCUAUUCGAAAGCUUUUCAUCCAGCAUACAUCAUCAUAAAACCAGUGCUCCUGACCCAUCUUCAUUUUAAUAGAGAAACACCUUUUUUAAAAAGCCUGGAAUUCCCUAUUGACAAACAGUGUGGUAACACAUACAAGAUUUAUCCUACUGUGCAUCUUUCCCAAGGAGCAUUUGAAAAUUACUAAUGACACGAGCAUCACUGAGCCACUGAAUGAUGUAAGACCACCUACAUUUUGUAGACAGAGAAGAGCAGAUGCCAUAAACCAAAUCAGCAGGAAACCUUACAGCACAAUUAAUAUCUCUGAAAAUAUACUCCUGUUUUAGCUUCUAGGAAAUGUUUCACUGGAAGAUAAAAUUUAUUAAAGCAGCAACUACGUCCAUUUUUUCAGAUUAUUAUUUCUGACAGACACUGGCUACCAAGGGUUCAGUUCACUGUUUAAGACCUCUGGUGACACCAGCUUGAGCAGCACCUAUGUGGAUUCUUUCUAAAUAAAGCUGUGUGUGCCCCAAGAAAGCCUGGUCUGGGUGUGUGCCAAAGAGCAGGGUUUUGGUUCAGCCACUAAGAGAAAAUCUUCAAUACCUAACAGCAGCAGGCCAUGACACUACUUCAGAUGCUCAGCCCAGAGCCCACAAACCCAGCAUGGGGCUGGCAGGCAGCUCCACUCUAAUGGCUCUCACAAGUCAGUCUCCUCUGUUCCUACUCGAGGCAGCUUUGCUGCCUCACACCACGAGCUGCAGCCUGAUGGCUUCUGCCCAGAAGCAGCGAAGUGAGGAAGCGGCGAAGGCAGGCCCGGCCGCGGGGCGCACAGUGGGGUGCAGGGGGGUACAGCAGCUCAGCCACGCUCACUGCCCGGCCUGCCCUGCCCCACUGGCUCAUCCAGCACAGCCGCCUGGGAAUUAACUGCGGUCCAGAAGCGUAUUUUAGCUUUUCCAAAGUGAAACGCAUUACAGACACCCUAAAUCCAGGCCUGUCUCCAAUAUCUCAUGAUAUCCCAGUGCCCACCUGGCCAGUUAAAACUCUUGCACUCUCCAGAGAGAUUUAUGGAUAUGAAACAAAAUGAAGAGGAGUUUUGAAGCCCAUGAGCUUUGUCAUCUAAUAAUGGAGAGCUCUAACUUUUACUUUCAGGACUAUUUAUUUCUUUUCCAUUUAGAAUAGAAAGGAUCAGAUUAAUAUCUCAACCUGUAAGGGCUCAAACACAGAUCUUAGAUCUGCAGAUUUUCUCUGGUGCAGUGCCUCCCAUAUUCCAGCUUGAGACAGACCAUGACCACCACUGUGAAGUGCUGAAAUCACUGCAUGAGCCUGGUGAUGGCAAUUGGGGAUGCCACACUGCACAGCAAUAGACGGAGCCUUUCUUUUUUGGUAGCUGACUACACAUCCCUUUACUGAAUCUACCUGCAUGUCAAAGCCAGGACUGCAAUUAGAGCUGACUGAAGAAUCCUCUGAGUUGCUUGGAAAAUGAGAAUUUAUCAAGAAAUUUAAAAUAUUUUUUGAUGUAUUGUGUAACAGAAACCAGCUUGCCUCUCACAGAACCUAAGCAUUUAGAACUCUCUUCUUCCUUGUUUUCCUUGGCUUUUCUGACAGACUUUUUUUUUUUUUUAAUCUUUUUAAUUUUUGUCGACAUAAAUUUCCAGGAAUAGUGGCAUGUCAAAUUCUAAACUUCUACUUCCUUAAACAUAAUACUUCUAGUACUGUAACCUAUGUUUUUCCUACUACAUCUGAUUUACACAACUCUUGUCACACUUUCUAAAUAGUCAGUGGCUGCAGUCAUCUAAAGACUGCAUUGUAAGUAUCUGCAACAGCAGGAAAAGCAUUGCCAGUAAAAAACAUUCAAGAAUACUCAAGUGUUACUUAAAAAUAACAUUAGUUUCUGGACAGAUGUGAAAGAGCUUACUUUCAUAUUAGUCCAUGUAAGCCUACAUAAUCUCUAACAAUCCAGAAUCUAAAAUACAUGCUUCAUGCAUCACUGCAUACUCAUUUGACCAAAGGUUUGAUAACAUGCUUUGGUGUGCUAUGGAUGACUGAAAUUCUAAAGAAACUAUGUGCUGCAACAAGCUCACAGAAAUGUACAAUUUAUGGUGAGAUUUGACAAAUGCUCUAUACUUUUCUGAGAGCUUUUAUACCACAGGGGAUAGUGUAGUGAAUAUGAGUGGUAAAAUGCCUGCUGAUUUUAAUAAAAUCUAAGUAGUACAAAUGAUGGCUGCAUUGAAUCUCCAACCCUGAUGAGGUACCAGCCCUUCCAGGCACUCUCAUAUCCCAGUAUUCGCUGUACCUCCAGUUGUAAGAGUCCCAUAAAAUGAAAUGUUCAUCGUUUAUUUUUCAUAAGUUUUGCUUUUGACAGUCCAGCUACUCAAGUCUGCAUUAAUUCAGCUCUGUUUUUAUGUAGCAGAUGGUCCAGCAGGACUGACUUCUCAGUCUCCUCUUAAAUCAAAGGUUCAUUUAUAACUGUUCAGUAUGACACCCUUUAGAUGCCAAGCAGACUGCAUAGAGGCACACUUCUCUAAAAAAAGUGGCAAAAUAUCUCAAUAAAUGAAAGAAAUUACUGUGAACUUCCAGGGAAUAGCAGACAUUUUCCAUCUGUACAAACUACUACUGUUGCUAUUUAUAGAAGCUACCUUGAUAUUAAGGACUUCUGAAGGCUGAUACAGUCCAGUUUAGCAGAAGGAUGUGCACUUUCUGCACAGCUUGGAAUCUGGCCCUAAGUUACAACAAAGCUGAAAUGAAUCAGAGCUUCACAAUUUAUAUUUAACAGAAAAAUGACAAGCUGCAAUAUUAAUAAUAAUAAUGUUUGCAAUAUUAAUAGUAACAAAACUUUAAAAUCACAUUAGUUUCUAGAAACACCACCAAAACCCAAAAUUCUAGGAAAAUCAUAGACAUCUCAACGCUAUCUCUUCACCUCUUAUUCUCCCUGACUAGCAUAAGUAAUAUGAAUUACAAAAUACCUGGCUGAAUGAAGCAAUAUUUCCUUUUUAUCAUGACUGUCCAGUGUUAAAGCUGAAUAUAAAACAUUUCAUUACUUUAACACUUACUUUAGGCUUUGAAAAUCAGUGCAUUUAAUAUAAACUUUUGGUGAAAGCUUUAUUUCAUGUCUCAGCAGUAACAAAGUCUAUUAUAAUAACAUGCAUGAGAUCUAAAGGUUCAGCAGAAAGAUGAUUGUAUCUUUUAUAUCCACAGCAGGGAGAUAGCUAUUUCCUCUCCUGUCAGGAUGAUUUAUUCAAUAAAUGAAGAAAAUAUGAAUCUUAAAAUGCAUUGAUUUUUUCCCCCUACAUUUCAAGAAACAGCAGAAAUCUUAGGAAAUUAAGAAAAUUAACUCCAUCAUGGAUAUUACAACACCAGGCAUUUUGGAAGAAUUAACUGAAUUUCUUGAACAAAGAAUACUGCAAAACCUUCUACACUUUGGAUGGUUAAAUCAAGAAAGUCUGUCCUCACUCUUCCCUAUGGCUUUUUGCUCCUUCCCCCAUCUUUCAUUUUUAUCCAUCUUCUUAUUACAGAGAAGUUUAUGAAUUGUUCUGUAUAGACAAGGAUUCAUACAGUUUAUAUACAAAAACAACCUCAAUUUACUUUUGGUACAUUAAUUAGCA